UCAGACGAUGCGUCAUGCAUAUCAAUAAGCGGAGGAAAAGAAACUAACAAGGAUUCCCCUAGUAACGGCGAGUGAAGCGGGAAGAGCUCAAAUUUGAAAUCUUAAAGGGUUUCCCUUUACGAAUUGUAGUUUAAAGAAGUGUUUUCUGUUGAGGUUUUGGUAAAAGUUCUUUGGAAUAGGACAUCAUAGAGGCUGAGAAUCCCGUAUUUGACCUUUACUUUCAACUUUGUGAUACACUUUCAAAGAGUCGGAUUGUUUGGGAAUGCAGUCCAAAAUGGGUGGUAAAUUUCAUCUAGAGCUAAAUAUUGGCGAGAGACCGAUAGCGAACAAGUACCGUGAGGGAAAGAUGAAAAGAACUUUGAAAAGAGAGUUAAACAGUACGUGAAAUUGUCAAAAGGGAAGCGUUUGACACCAGUGUUGUUUUUCUGAAAAUCAAUUAAAGAACUGUUUAUGCUAAGCUGUUUAGACUUUAUCAGCUAUCUGUUUAGUUUUGAGCUUUUCUUUAAUGCACUUUUCAGUUAACAAGUCAACAUCAAUUUCUUUUGCUGUAAAAAAGCUUGAGGAAGGUGGCUUGAGAUUCGUCUUAAGUGUUUAUAGGCCUCUUGCCUAUGCAGUCGGAGAGAUUGAGGUCUGCAGCGUAGAUCCUUCGGGGCUAAAUGCAUUUGUGCUAAGUUAUAGCAUUUUAUAGACAACUUGUUGACUAUGAUUUGUCUUGUAGCUUACUCGCUUAUGUUAUUUUACCUACGCUUAGGAUGUUGACACACGCGCGUGCUCG
RNAcentral lists this ribosomal RNA (775 nucleotides) under uncultured Neocallimastigales. RNAcentral describes it as "partial large subunit ribosomal RNA". It matches the Rfam family "Eukaryotic large subunit ribosomal RNA", at positions 18 to 643 of the family's 3401-position model. Lineage: Eukaryota; Fungi; Neocallimastigomycota; Neocallimastigomycetes; Neocallimastigales. The record is from RNAcentral.